CUGGUUGAUCCUGCCAGUAGUCAUAUGCUUGUCUCAAAGAUUAAGCCAUGCAUGUCUAAGUAUAAGUUCUGUACUGCGAAACUGUGAAUGGCUCAUUAUAACAGUUAUUAUUCCCUGGCCGGUCAGUGAUUCCUUGGAUACCCAUGGUAAUUCUAGAGCUAAUACAUGCUUAAAAACCCGACUUCUUGAAGGGUUGCGCUUAUUAGAUACCGAACCAACCCAGGCUCUGUCUGGUUUUCGUUGAUUCAUAGUGUUCUGGCGAAUCGACUCGCAAGAGUCGAUGAGGCUAUCAAGUUUCUGACCUAUCAGCUUCCGACGGUAGGAUAUUGGCCUACCGUGGCUUUGACGGGUAACGGAGAAUUAGGGUUCGAUUCCGGAGAGGGAGCCUGAGAAACGGCUACCACAUCUAAGGAAGGCAGCAGGCGCGUAAAUUACCCAAUCCUGACACAGGGAGGUAGUGACAAGAAAUAUCAAUAUAAGACGUUUCUGUCUUGUAAUUGGGAUGAGCGAAACAUAAACCGCUUCUCGAGUAUCAAUUGGAGGGCAAGUCUGGU
Molecule: ribosomal RNA, 554 nt
Filed under: uncultured eukaryote
Lineage: Eukaryota
Description: SSU rRNA
Rfam family: Eukaryotic small subunit ribosomal RNA
Source: RNAcentral